GAUGAACGCUAGCGGCAGGCCUAAUACAUGCAAGUCGAACGAGAUUAAGAGGCUUGCUUCUUAUGAAAGUGGCGCACGGGUGCGUAACGCGUAUGCAACCUACCUUAAUCAGGGGGAUAGCCCGAAGAAAUUCGGAUUAAGACCGCAUAAAAACACAGGAUAGCAUUAUCCAAUGUUCAAAUAUUUAUAGGAUUAAGAUGGGCAUGCGUGUCAUUAGCUAGUUGGCGGGGUAACGGCCCACCAAGGCGACGAUGACUAGGGGAUCUGAGAGGAUGACCCCCCACACUGGUACUGAGACACGGACCAGACUCCUACGGGAGGCAGCAGUAAGGAAUAUUGGUCAAUGGAGGGAACUCUGAACCAGCCAUGCCGCGUGCAGGAAGGCAGCCCUCUGGGUCGUAAACUGCUUUUAUUCGGGAAUAAACCUUUCUACGUGUAGGAAGCUGAAUGUACCGAAGGAAUAAGGAUCGGCUAACUCCGUG
RNAcentral lists this ribosomal RNA (482 nucleotides) under uncultured bacterium. RNAcentral describes it as "partial 16S ribosomal RNA". It matches the Rfam family "Bacterial small subunit ribosomal RNA", at positions 28 to 507 of the family's 1533-position model. The record is from RNAcentral.